RNAcentral lists this ribosomal RNA (735 nucleotides) under uncultured Atopobium sp. RNAcentral describes it as "bacterial SSU rRNA". It matches the Rfam family "Bacterial small subunit ribosomal RNA", at positions 28 to 776 of the family's 1533-position model. The record is from RNAcentral. Lineage: Bacteria; Bacillati; Actinomycetota; Coriobacteriia; Coriobacteriales; Atopobiaceae.
GAUGAACGCUGGCGGCGCGCCUAACACAUGCAAGUCGAACGAUUAAAGCACCUUCGGGUGUGUAUAAAGUGGCGAACGGCUGUGUAACACGUGGGCAACCUGCCCCUCUCAUUGGGAUAGCCACGGGAAACCGUGGAUAAUACCGAAUACUUCGAGUCUCCCGCAUGGAAGACUCGAGAAAGCUCCGGCGGAGAGGGAUGGGCCCGCGGCCUGUUAGCUUGUUGGUGGGGUAACGGCCUACCAAGGCAAUGAUGGGUAGCUGGGUUGAGAGACCGACCAGCCAGAUUGGGACUGAGACACGGCCCAGACUCCUACGGGAGGCAGCAGUGGGGAGUCUUGCACAAUGGGCGAAAGCCUGAUGCAGCGACGCCGCGUGCGGGAUGAAGGCCUUCGGGUUGUAAACCGCUUUCAGCAGGGACGAGGCGAAAGUGACGGUACCUGCAGAAGAAGCCCCGGCUAACUACGUGCCAGCAGCCGCGGUAAUACGUAGGGGGCAAGCGUUAUCCGGAUUCAUUGGGCGUAAAGCGCUCGUAGGCGGUCUGUUAGGUCGGGAGUUAAAUCCGGGGGCUCAACCCCCGUUCGCUCCCGAUACCGGCAGACUUGAGUUUGGUAGGGGAGGGUGGAAUUCCUAGUGUAGCGGUGGAAUGCGCAGAUAUUAGGAAGAACACCAGUGGCGAAGGCGGCCUUCUGGGCCAUAACUGACGCUGAGGAGCGAAAGCUAGGGGAGCAAACAGG